GGGGAUUUGGCUCAGUGGUAGAGCACUUGCCUAGCAAGCGCAAGGCCCUGGGUUCAGUCCCUA
RNAcentral lists this transfer RNA (63 nucleotides) under Rattus norvegicus (Norway rat). It matches the Rfam family "tRNA". Rfam says of the family: Transfer RNA (tRNA) molecules are approximately 80 nucleotides in length. Their secondary structure includes four short double-helical elements and three loops (D, anti-codon, and T loops). Lineage: Eukaryota; Metazoa; Chordata; Mammalia; Rodentia; Muridae. The record is from Rfam by way of RNAcentral.